This 328-nucleotide unclassified non-coding RNA is filed under the name Hevea brasiliensis (rubber tree). The record is from RNAcentral. Lineage: Eukaryota; Viridiplantae; Streptophyta; Magnoliopsida; Malpighiales; Euphorbiaceae.
GGUAUGAGUCACCUUUUAGGCACCAACUUGAUGUAGGUUUCAAUGAGCUCUCGAUCAAACUUUUAGCGUCUCUAAUAGAUUGGUGACUGAAGACACUUGUCAACAACUUGAAUGAUGACUUAUUUUGGCCGUAUCAUUUAGUCGAAAUAGGAGACACCAUUAAGGCUUCUUUAAAUCAAUCCAUAAAGCCCAAAAUUAUAUGUCCUAUUGCAUUUUGCAACUGAUAUUGUUAAAUUUCAGCUAAAAUCUCAUUACAUUUAAAAUAUUAUUAUAUUUUUAAAUUUAAUUGAUAAAAAGUUAAUAGUCUAUUAGAAAAGUAAUAGGUUUU